This 1511-nucleotide ribosomal RNA is filed under the name Bacillus thuringiensis. RNAcentral describes it as "bacterial SSU rRNA". It matches the Rfam family "Bacterial small subunit ribosomal RNA". The record is from RNAcentral. Lineage: Bacteria; Bacillati; Bacillota; Bacilli; Caryophanales; Bacillaceae.
GCUAUUGCGUAUAGCCGGUCGUGCUUGUCGAGCGCGUCGGAUCUGAGAGCUUGCUCUAUGCAAGUUAGCGGCGGACGGGUGAGUAACACGUGGGUAACCUGCCCAUAAGACUGGGAUAACUCCGGGAAACCGGGGCUAAUACCGGAUAACAUUUUGAACUGCAUGGUUCGAAAUUGAAAGGCGGCUUCGGCUGUCACUUAUGGAUGGACCCGCGUCGCAUUAGCUAGUUGGUGAGGUAACGGCUCACCAAGGCAACGAUGCGUAGCCGACCUGAGAGGGUGAUCGGCCACACUGGGACUGAGACACGGCCCAGACUCCUACGGGAGCCAGGAGUAUGGAAUUUUCCCCGCUAUCGACGUAAUGUCUCACGGGAGCGACGCCUGCGUGGAGUGCAUGAAAGCAUUCGGGUCGUAAAAGUCUGUUGUUAGGGAAGAACAAGUGCUAGCUGAAUAAGCUGGCACCUUGACGGUACCUCACCAGAAAGCCUCGGCUAAUUACGUGCCAGCAGCCGCGGUAAUACGUAGGUGGCAAGCGUUAUCCGGAAUUAUGGGGCGUAAAGCGCGCGCAGGUGGAUUUCUUAAGUCUGAUGUGAAAGCCCACGGCUCAACCGUGGAGGGUCAUUGGAAACUGGGAGACUUGAGUGCAGAAGAGGAAAGUGGAAUUCCAUGUGUAGCGGUGAAAUGCGUAGAGAUAUGGAGGAACACCAGUGGCGAAGGCGACUUUCUGGUCUGUAACUGACACUGAGGCGCGAAAGCGUGGGGAGCAAACAGGAUUAGAUACCCUGGUAGUACACGCCGUAAACGAUGAGUGCUAAGUGUUAGAGGGUUUCGGCCCUUUAGUGCUGAAGUUAACGCAUUAAGCACUCCGCCUUGGGGAGUACGGCCGCAAGGCUGAAACUCAAACGGAAUUGAUGGGGGCCGCGCACAAGCAGGUCGGAGCAUGUGGUUUCAUUCGAAGCAACGCGAAGAAACUUACCAGGUCUUGACAUGCUCUGAAAACCCUAGAAGAUACGGCUUCUAGGUCGGGAGCAGAGUGACAAGUGGUGCAUGGGUGUCGUCAGCUCGUGUACGUGAGAUGUUGGGAUAUGUUCUCGACAACGACGCGCAACCCAUGAUCUUAGUUGCCAUCAUUAAGGUAGGCACUCUAAUGGUCAGCUGCUGGUGACAAAACAGUAGGAAAAGGUGGGGAUGACGUCAAAUCAUCAUGCCCCUUAUGACCUGGGCUACACACGUGCUACAAUGGACGGUACAAAGAGCUGCAAGACCGCGAGGUGGAGCUAAUCUCAUAAAACCGUUCUCAGUUCGGAUUGUAGGCUGCAACUCGCCUACAUGAAGCUGGAAUCGCUAGUAAUCGCGGAUCAGCAUGCCGCGGUGAAUACGUUCCCGGGCCUUGUACACACCGCCCGUCACACCACGAGAGUUUGUAACACCCGAAGUCGGUGGGGUAACCUUUUUGGAGCCAGCCGCCUAUCGGUGGGACAGAUGAUUCACCUAAGUAAGACUGUCAGAAAC